UGGCUCUUUCGGCUCCGAACCGGUGUUCUGGGAAUUUCUCCUACCCCGUAAACCGUCCUACCCGUAGUUCCUGAGCAUGUGCGCGCAUGCGCACAACACAAAAAGGGAAGCUAAGCGCAUCCGGCUGUGAUUUCACGCUACUCCAUUGUCAUAUUUGCAGGAGAAUAGAUUCGGUGAAGUCUGCUGUCAAGUUACUGGACGCGUGGUAUUUGCACAACACUUUUGAGUCCGCAGCUUCGGUGUUUUAAGGCUGUUUCGAUAUGGAGAAGAAGUGGGAAGAGAUUUACGCGUUCAUUUCUGCGGGCUCCUACCCUUCAGGAUAUGACAAGGCUCAGAGGCAAAACCUCAGAAGAUAUGCC
Long non-coding RNA from Haplochromis burtoni (Burton's mouthbrooder), 359 nucleotides. RefSeq lists it as uncharacterized. Lineage: Eukaryota; Metazoa; Chordata; Actinopteri; Cichliformes; Cichlidae. The record is from RefSeq and is a predicted model, not a curated record. The transcript has 3 exons.